CUUAGCGUUUUGUCGCCAUGGGUUUGGUUUGGGUGGUUGUGCUUCUUCUUUUCCACCAGAGGGCGCUGUCAGGACGGUGGGCUGGAUUACGUCAGCGAGCACACCGGUUGCGAGUUGAGCUCAUCAGGAGCAGCGUCUUCAGGAGCAACCUGCCAGUCUUCGGCGCCUGAGUGUCUUCCCGUAUUGACCAUUCACCCGAUGCAGUGGAAGGAUUUCCCGUUGUGCUGAGUUUCUCGACUCACCUUCUCUGUGCAACAACAGGCUCCCCUCGGAUUCCUUGGCUGGCUGCUCCUCGCUCCUCGUGCCUCGCUCCUCGUCCUGCUCCGCGUUUCCACCGUGGACACCGAGCCCACCUGUCCGCCCGCCUACACACACACACCCUGCCGCUACCCUGCAGUGAAUCUCUUCCACGCUGCAGCUGUCUACCCCUCAAGUAAGACUGUUCCUGUUUACCCUCACACCGUGUUUCCGACUGUCCCUGAACUCACCACCUCAUCUGUUUACAUAGUUCCCGAUCGCUCCCCCUCCCGAGACGCUCCUGUGGACCGGACCCGAAUCCCUGUCAUUCCUCGUUCACUGUUGUGUAAAAUAAACCUUGUAAAUAUUUGCACUCCA
Poeciliopsis prolifica (blackstripe livebearer) is the source of this 615-nucleotide long non-coding RNA. RefSeq lists it as uncharacterized. The record is from RefSeq and is a predicted model, not a curated record. NCBI's taxonomy places the organism in Eukaryota, Metazoa, Chordata, Actinopteri, Cyprinodontiformes, Poeciliidae. The transcript is spliced from 2 exons.